Vidua macroura (Pin-tailed whydah) is the source of this 2791-nucleotide long non-coding RNA. RefSeq lists it as uncharacterized. Lineage: Eukaryota; Metazoa; Chordata; Aves; Passeriformes; Viduidae. The transcript is spliced from 2 exons. The record is from RefSeq and is a predicted model, not a curated record.
UUUCCCAGCUCACUCAGCCUGUCCCAGCUUCCUUUCUGCCCUUCCCCGACCUCUUGCAGCUCCACUCCAGUGCUCCUUUGGGGAGGAGCUGCCAGAACUGCAGCCAGGAUUUCAAGUCCAUGCUAAGCAGGAUUUAGGCAAUGCCACGAGGAUGUGCUCAUCACCAGGGAGGAAGGGAAGAGCAAACACCCCCAGCAUUUCCUUCCCUGGGGUUGGGCUGACAGCAGUGGUUUUCCAGCUCUCCUGUGUAGAGCUUCCACGGCUCCAUCCCCGAGAGCCCCACUGCCCUCUCUUGGAGCAGCAAUGGCCAGAUCAGUCUGUCAUUCUCUGCUGCCACUCACGAUGAGUUCUCCCCUUGCAGGCAACACGUCCUGGUGUGGAUCAGCACUUGGCUUUCCUCUCUUCUCUCCCCACUGGCUGCUGUCAGAUGGCCAAGGCCAAACACCUUUCUAUUAACAGCAAACUUGGUCUUCUCACCCCUCCUUCCAGAUCCAGAUAUUUAGAAAUAUGAACGUGGGUUUGGACACAAGGAAUUCCCCAAACCAUGCAAUGUCCAUAGAGACAGUGUGGAUAUUGAGAACUAAAGCUUCUAGGGCACGGAAGCCCAGCAUGGAGGAAAAUCAGCAGCCUCAGCAUUAACGGGCUUUGGCAUGACUACAACAUCAUCUCCUCCUUAUUCAGAAGAAUGCAAUUGGAAAAGUUUAACUGGAAAAAGGCUCUCCAAUUUCCUCUUCAGAGAUGUCAGCUCCUGGUGAAGAGUCACAGUUUCUUCCUGUCUUUCAGAGGCCUCUUUCUCCAGGGCAGUUUCUCAAGAAAUGUGCUUGACUGCUGCCUCCCACCAAUCUGCAGCAGGGAAAGGGAAGGAGAAGGGGAAAAGCAAAGCAAAGGCAAACUGAUGUGCAUCCUGCAGAGACAACAGCACUGUCUUCUCUGCCUGUCUGAGUUUGCCAGGCUCUGAGCCCACAAGGGCUCCAAAGCUGACAGAAAUGAAGACAACUUCCAGGCAGAGAAAAAAGCAGGAAUGAAAGGGGCAAGGUUCAGAGGGAUAGGAAAGUAUGUUUGCUCUUGGCCUUGUGCAGAGUGAACAACCCAAGAGAGACAAAGGCGAGGGGAUGCCUGUGCAGCCCUGCUCCAGAGAGGCCAAUAGCCUGGAGGCUCUGGCAGGGCCUGGAGUUUGGGGGAAUUGAGCUGAGGCAUCCAGCUACAGCUCCUUAGCACAGAGACGGCACCUGAAAGGCUCCAGCUGUGCACAGGAUCAGCCAUGGCACAGCCAGGUGGCACUGCCAGCCACAGCAUCUUUCUCAAGAAAAAACUUUCACUGGCACUUGGAUGGAUAAAUCUCCUGCUGGUUGUUUUUCCCCUCUGCCAUCUCUGGGCACUUUUCCUCUGCAAGCCAUCAGCGAGAUCCCCACAGGUGAGACAGGAUGGGGCAGUGGGUAGGAGAGGAGAAGCUGUACCUUGCUCGCUUUGCUCCAGCUGUUUCAGCAGCUCCUGAUUGUGGGCUCUGAGAUGGUCCCUCUGAGCCUGUGUCUUCCUCAGCUCCAGCUCCAUGUCCUUACACUGUGUGGCAAUGGCCUCUGCUCUUUCCUCAGAGCUCUGGAGCUUCACACGCAGCUCAGAGACCUCAGUUUCCAGCAGCUGCUUCUUUUGAGUUGCCUGGUGAGCUGUCUUCUCUAUCUCUGCCAGCAGCAUGGCCUGCAUCUGGAAGAUGGAUGCACAGAGCCUCAGGGACAGGGCUGCUCCUGAGGCUGCAGAGUGGGCCGUAGGGAGAGCAACAAAGAAGAAAUUAUUUCAGGCAAAAACCAUGCCAAAACCAGAAGCAAGGAUUCCAAUGGUGACAUUGGAGAGAAAGACAUGGAGAGACACGUGCAGAGAAAAGAGGGAAAAGAAGGCAAUGGGCACCCUUGAGGCUGCAGCUCUGAACAGCAGCUGAGAUGGCUGUGCUGGAAAUGCCCUGCCCAGCCUGCCAUAGCCACCUCUGUGUCCCCACAUUGCUCAGUGCCUGGCACAGGCACCAACUCUGUCUGGGACAACACUGCUAACUGAGGGACAGAGAAGCUCCAGAGGAGUCUGCUGCUGCUCCCCUCCCAGAUUUCCUGCUGGGACCGGAGAGAGAAUGGGGGGGAAACUUCGGCAGCAGACAGCAGAUCCAGCCUUGGCCUCAGCAUGCAGCAGCAGCCUCGGGCAGAACACGGCAGCUGUGCAUGCUGCUGGGAGGGGAAAGAUGUUGGGGCCUCCAAGCCAAAGGUGCUGUUGUGUGUCUCUGGAGAAGAGGAUGCCACUGCACAGCUUACCUGGGUGUUGAGCUCCUGCAUUUGUCCUCUAUGCUCAGAACAGUGCUGCUCUGCCUGCUGAAGAGCAGAAAAUAACUGAGACAUGCUAUUUUUCAAUUCUAGGUUCUGUUCUUCCAGCGUUCUGAGGCACUGGUUCUUCUACUUCAGAGACAGAAUCAGCCUAGAAGGAAAGUCUGAGACAGCCCCAGAAUCAGUCCCACAGUGCCCUGUCACAGCCUCCUGAGAGCCUGGGCUGCCCCAAGGGCUCUGUCUGUGGAGACCCUUCCACGCACAGCUGAACAGGAGAAUCCCAAACAUCUGCCUGGAGUCACCAAGAGUGUGUCCUGACUUCCCUUUAAUGUUCUGAAUUAGGAAAAUUCUCCCAAUCUGUUGACAAAAAUCCUCUCAAUAUGUGGAUAAAUGCACUCUUACAGUCUGCUGGGCUUUACAUUCAAAGCAUUCGUAGUGUACACUAUGAGCUGUAUAGUUGAGAUAAACUUCUAUAUAUCUAAUUAUUA